RNAcentral lists this unclassified non-coding RNA (328 nucleotides) under soil metagenome. RNAcentral's name for it is "partial contains 5.8S ribosomal RNA, internal transcribed spacer 2, and large subunit ribosomal RNA". The stretch from base 1 to 120 matches the Rfam family "5.8S ribosomal RNA", at positions 35 to 154 of the family's 154-position model. The record is from RNAcentral.
GAUGAAGAACGUAGCGAAAUGCGAUAAGUAGUGUGAAUUGCAGAAUUCAGUGAAUCAUCGAAUCUUUGAACGCACAUUGCGCCCUUUGGUAUUCCAAAGGGCAUGCCUGUUCGAGCGUCAUUUGUACCCUCAAGCUUUGCUAGGUGUUGGGGCCUGCUGCACUGGCAGCCCUUAAAAUCAGUGGCGGCGCCAUCUGGCUCUAAGCGUAGUAAUUCUUCUCGCUAUGGAGUCCUGGUGGAUGCUUGCCAUCAACCCCCAAUUUUUCUAUGGUUGACCUCGGAUCAGGUAGGGAUACCCGCUGAACUUAAGCAUAUCAGUAAGCGGAGGA